RNAcentral lists this ribosomal RNA (253 nucleotides) under uncultured bacterium. RNAcentral describes it as "partial 16S ribosomal RNA". It matches the Rfam family "Bacterial small subunit ribosomal RNA", at positions 524 to 776 of the family's 1533-position model. The record is from RNAcentral.
UACGAAGGGGGCUAGCGUUGUUCGGAAUUACUGGGCGUAAAGCGCACGUAGGCGGAUCCUUAAGUCAGGGGUGAAAUCCCGAGGCUCAACCUCGGAACUGCCUUUGAUACUGGGGAUAUCGAGUCCGGGAGAGGUGAGUGGAACUGCGAGUGUAGAGGUGAAAUUCGUAGAUAUUCGCAAGAACACCAGUGGCGAAGGCGGCUCACUGGCCCGGUACUGACGCUGAGGUGCGAAAGCGUGGGGAGCAAACAGG